CGGUGAUAUAAUUAAACGGCUGCAGUACUCUGACUGUGCAAAGGUAGCAUGAUCAAUUGUCUGGUAAUUCCAGUCUGGUAUGAAUGGUUAGACGAUAGGAACGCUGUCUUUUUCUCUUUUGUUGAAAUUGACUACCAGGUGCGGAGGCCUGGAUUGGAGAGUGGGACGAGAAGACCCUAAUAGGUAAAGUUAAAGCUCUAUAGGGUCUUCUUAUCCUACUCUCCAAUCUAGGGCCAACUAUUCUUAUUAUUAAACAUCUAAAGUAAUAUAGAAAGUGUAACUUGUGUGUAACCUAAAUUACCAGGUUAGAAAAAGUUACAGUCAAUGGGUCAUCGUAAUAUUUCUCGUCAGAGUUCUUAUUAA
Molecule: ribosomal RNA, 363 nt
Filed under: Ophiocoma echinata
Lineage: Eukaryota; Metazoa; Echinodermata; Ophiuroidea; Amphilepidida; Ophiocomidae
Description: partial 16S ribosomal RNA
Source: RNAcentral